UUAAAGGAGCGAGCUAGAAAGUGUGCAGACGAUUGGUUAGUUGCAACAUCUACACAAGAGGCAUUACGUGAGACCAUAGCUAACAUUUGUUAUUAUCCUUUGAGCUAACCUCGUGUCCAUGAUGUAUUCUGAAGAGAACCAUGAGAUUCUGUAGGGAAGGCUUGUGGUACCGUGACAAGACAAUUAUACACCACAGAUCUGGAGAGCGUGACCUCUGAGCUAAUCGCAUGUUACCCUUGAGCUAACCACGGGUCCUUGAUGUAUCCAUAAGAGAACCAUGAGAUUCCGUAGGGAUGCCUUGUGGAGCCGUGAGAAGACAAGUCUACACCACAGAUGUGGAGAGCGUACCUCUGAACUAAUCGCGUGUUACUCUUGAGCCAACCACAGGUCCUUGCUGUAUCCUUAAGAAUACCAUGAGAUGACGUAGGGAGGCCUUGGGAAGACUUGAGUAGAAAGUAAUAUUUGCAACAUGUCUGGUUAACGGCAGUGCCUCUACAAAAACGAUGCUGUAAUUCAAACGAAAGCAUACUCGACUCCAAAAUCCUGAUCAAAUACAUCUAUUGCGAAUAUAACUAAUUUCUGUUCCUUUUCUGCUAACCGUGGUCAUGCGUUUGAAUCGUGUUUCCGACGGGAAUAAGGAGAUCACGCCGAAUUUUAAUUUAAUACCAACUGGUAAAUGUACUCUUAAAUAAAAUGCAAGAUCGCAGUGGUGCGUUAUACAAGAAUCAAUUGCAAAUGAAAUCUCUGGGUGUAGAAAACAAAUCGUAAACUAUUUGCGUGGAUUGAGAUCGGACCUUACUAUUUCAAUGAAUAGUUAAAUAGUUAUUAAUGUAGAAAUAAUUUUCUAUAGUUCCAGGUUUUGAAAUGACUACUGAUAUAUUAACCGGAGCAGAUUUAUUACGUAAUAAGAAUACAUGUGGAAAAUUUAGUAUCCUUGCCGAUGUUUUGCACAUACGAACAAGUCAAUUAUGCUUUGACAGUUUAGAUUACAAUUCAACAAUCAGUCCGUUUAAAUCGAAGUAAUGCACCAACACAUUCAAAACAGGAUGGUCGAAGCGGAGAGAAGAUACAAAGCUAGGUUUUUGAGAGGUCGAGCUACGAUUAAAAGAUUCCAGAAGGGAGAUAUUGUAAUAAUAAAAAUAUAACCCCAGAAAUCGGAUAUCCCUAUAUUUAAAAUUUUGUGAACUAUACAAAAUCCAGAAAAUAAUUGAGAAUGAUUAAUAUCUUGUAAAGUGAUUUUAGACAAUGGAUGACUUCGAAAUGUGGCACAUGACCAGCUACGAAUGUGGCACAUGACCAGCUACGAUGAGACUUCACAGCAUCUGAGGGACGACACAGAAUUACUAAGCAAGCAGUUAGGUGGACGGUUCGCCUACCUAAUAGUUAUCCGGUGAGCGUAUUUCAUUUUGUUCAAAUUGCUUCAUUCAAACGCAUUACCAUUAAUCAUUGCUAGCAAUGUGAUUGUCUAACACUUAGUUUGAGAUAUAUUACUAUAAAAGAUGCAUUUGGCGUGCGGAUCCGAACCAUAACAAAAAAAAAAAAAAAUAAUAAUAAAUAAAAAAAAAUAAAAUAAUAAUUAAUAAAAAAUAAUAUUGUAGACGGGUGGAGACGUCUUACGCCAAACAAAUAAAGAAAGAAAAAAAAAAAAAAU
Molecule: long non-coding RNA, 1651 nt
Organism: Danaus plexippus (monarch butterfly)
Lineage: Eukaryota; Metazoa; Arthropoda; Insecta; Lepidoptera; Nymphalidae
Exons: 2
Source: RefSeq, a predicted model, not a curated record